UCGAGAAUUUUUCACAAUGGGCGAAAGCCUGAUGGAGCGACGCCGCGUGGGGGUUGAAUGGCUUCGGCCCGUAAACCCCUGUCAUUUGUGACCAAACCUUCCGAUCUAAUAAGUCGGAAGCUGAUGGUAGCGGAAGAGGAAGGGACGGCUAACUCUGUGCCAGCAGCCGCGGUAAUACAGAGGUCCCAAGCGUUGUUCGGAUUCACUGGGCGUAAAGGGUGCGUAGGUGGUCGGGUAAGUCUGAUGUGAAAUCUCCGAGCUUAACUCGGAAAUGGCAUUGGAUACUAUCUGACUGGAGGGUUGGAGGGGGGACUGGAAUUCUCGGUGUAGCAGUGAAAUGCGUAGAUAUCGAGAGGAACACCAGUGGCGAAGGCGAGUCCCUGGACAACUCCUGACACUGAGGCACGAAAGCUAGGGGAGCAAACAG
This 427-nucleotide ribosomal RNA is filed under the name uncultured bacterium. Its description in RNAcentral is "bacterial SSU rRNA". It matches the Rfam family "Bacterial small subunit ribosomal RNA", at positions 355 to 775 of the family's 1533-position model. The record is from RNAcentral.